Molecule: ribosomal RNA, 253 nt
Filed under: uncultured bacterium
Lineage: Bacteria
Description: partial 16S ribosomal RNA
Rfam family: Bacterial small subunit ribosomal RNA
Source: RNAcentral
UACGUAGGGUGCAAGCGUUGUCCGGAAUUAUUGGGCGUAAAGAGCUCGUAGGCGGUUUGUCGCGUCGAAUGUGAAAACCCGGGGCUCAACCCCGGGCCUGCAUUCGAUACGGGCAGACUAGAGUUCGGUAGGGGAGUCUGGAAUUCCCGGUGUAGCGGUGAAAUGCGCAGAUAUCGGGAAGAACACCCGUGGCGAAGGCGGCUCUCUGGGACGGUACUGACGCUGAGACGCGAAAGCGUGGGGAGCGAACAGG